RNAcentral lists this ribosomal RNA (792 nucleotides) under Kocuria sp. B31. Its description in RNAcentral is "bacterial SSU rRNA". It matches the Rfam family "Bacterial small subunit ribosomal RNA", at positions 565 to 1355 of the family's 1533-position model. The record is from RNAcentral. Lineage: Bacteria; Bacillati; Actinomycetota; Actinomycetes; Micrococcales; Micrococcaceae.
GAGCUCGUAGGCGGUUUGUCGCGUCUGCUGUGAAAGCCCGGGGCUCAACCCCGGGUCUGCAGUGGGUACGGGCAGACUAGAGUGCAGUAGGGGAGACUGGAAUUCCUGGUGUAGCGGUGAAAUGCGCAGAUAUCAGGAGGAACACCGAUGGCGAAGGCAGGUCUCUGGGCUGUUACUGACGCUGAGGAGCGAAAGCAUGGGGAGCGAACAGGAUUAGAUACCCUGGUAGUCCAUGCCGUAAACGUUGGGCACUAGGUGUGGGGGACAUUCCACGUUCUCCGCGCCGUAGCUAACGCAUUAAGUGCCCCGCCUGGGGAGUACGGCCGCAAGGCUAAAACUCAAAGGAAUUGACGGGGGCCCGCACAAGCGGCGGAGCAUGCGGAUUAAUUCGAUGCAACGCGAAGAACCUUACCAAGGCUUGACAUCCGCCGGACCGCUCCAGAGAUGGGGUCUCCCUUCGGGGUCGGUGGACAGGUGGUGCAUGGUUGUCGUCAGCUCGUGUCGUGAGAUGUUGGGUUAAGUCCCGCAACGAGCGCAACCCUCGUUCUAUGUUGCCAGCACGUGAUGGUGGGGACUCAUAGGAGACUGCCGGGGUCAACUCGGAGGAAGGUGGGGAUGACGUCAAAUCAUCAUGCCCCUUAUGUCUUGGGCUUCACGCAUGCUACAAUGGCCGGUACAAAGGGUUGCGAUACUGUGAGGUGGAGCUAAUCCCAAAAAGCCGGUCUCAGUUCGGAUUGAGGUCUGCAACUCGACCUCAUGAAGUCGGAGUCGCUAGUAAUCGCAGAUCAGCAA